UCCAAUGGUGGGCUGGUUAAGGGAUCGAAAGAUCGCCGUUUUCUCGUAAGUACGGUACGCCAACCUUGAUCAGUUCACCACCAAC
This 85-nucleotide non-coding RNA is filed under the name Alitibacter langaaensis DSM 22999. The record is from RNAcentral. Lineage: Bacteria; Pseudomonadati; Pseudomonadota; Gammaproteobacteria; Pasteurellales; Pasteurellaceae.